GGUGAGUAACACGUGGAUAACCUACCUAUAAGACUGGGAUAACUUCGGGAAACCGGAGCUAAUACCGGAUAACAUGUUGAACCGCAUGGUUCAACAGUGAAAGACGGUCUUGCUGUCACUUAUAGAUGGAUCCGCGCCGCAUUAGCUAGUUGGUAAGGUAACGGCUUACCAAGGCAACGAUGCGUAGCCGACCUGAGAGGGUGAUCGGCCACACUGUAACUGAGACACGGUCCAG
RNAcentral lists this ribosomal RNA (235 nucleotides) under uncultured Staphylococcus sp. Its description in RNAcentral is "partial 16S ribosomal RNA". It matches the Rfam family "Bacterial small subunit ribosomal RNA", at positions 105 to 334 of the family's 1533-position model. Lineage: Bacteria; Bacillati; Bacillota; Bacilli; Caryophanales; Staphylococcaceae. The record is from RNAcentral.